AUUGAACGCUGGCGGCAAGCCUAACACAUGCAAGUCGAACGAGUGGCGGACGGGUGAGUAAUGUCUGGGAAACUGCCUGAUGGAGGGGGAUACCUACUGUACACGGUAGCUCAUACCGCAUACCAUCGGAUGUGCCCAGAUGGGAUUAGCUAGUAGGUGGGGUAAAGGCUCACCUAGGCGACAAUCCCUAGCUGGUCUGAGCGGAUGACCAGCAACACUGGAACUGAGACACGGGCCAGACUCCUACGGGAGGCAGCAGUGGGGAAUAUUGCACAAUGGGCGCAAGCCGGAUGCAGCCAUGCCGCGUGUAUGAAGAAGGCCUUCGGGUUGUAAAGUACUUGCAGCGGGGAGGCGUUACCCGCAGAAGAAGCACCGGCUAACUCCGUGCCAGCAGCCGCGGUAAUAC
Molecule: ribosomal RNA, 406 nt
Filed under: uncultured bacterium
Lineage: Bacteria
Description: partial 16S ribosomal RNA
Rfam family: Bacterial small subunit ribosomal RNA
Source: RNAcentral